This 102-nucleotide small RNA is filed under the name Neisseria gonorrhoeae NCCP11945. RNAcentral's name for it is "AniS". It matches the Rfam family "AniS". Lineage: Bacteria; Pseudomonadati; Pseudomonadota; Betaproteobacteria; Neisseriales; Neisseriaceae. The record is from Rfam by way of RNAcentral.
AUGAAAUCUAGAUUGUUUGUUUGCUGUUUCCCAAUCCGUCUUGAUUUUACCUCUUUCCUCUUGAUGUGUGUUUGGGUGUGGCUGCCGCCACCCCUUUUUUUU